AUUAGUCUCUAUGUGACAGCGGCAGCUGCAUCAGGGGCCACCGGCCCGGUUAUAAAGACUGAAAUAAUUCAGCUGUGUGUGUGUGUGUGUGUGAGACAGAGUGAGAGAGAGAGAGAGAGAGAUCCCUGAACAAGUGCCACCCACGGCAGAUGUGGAUUUUUAUGUUUUCCUGUCUGUCCUCUGGGGUUUCCUCACCUCUGACCUCCGUCCCCUCAGACAGACACUUAACAACAAGCCAACUCCAGAGUCAUUUCCACCUUUUAACGCAGGGCUGUCAAACUCAAAGUCAAACUUAAUAUUUAUUGAAAAAUUGAGGAUUAAUGUGAGGAUGCAGAUCACUGAAAAACCACUGGAGUUUUGACAAGUCGUCAGGACGCUGUGGAAGGAUUUCCUGUCAUGACUGUCUGUCCUUCUGUCUGGUCAUUAGUUAAUCACCCUCACCUGGUCCUGUGCCUCUUUGUCUCAUUAGUCUCACCCGUCUCACCUGGUGCCCUGGGUAUUUAAACCUCCCUCUCUCACACAGGAUUUAUGUCUGGGUUGGUCUGUUGGUCUCGUUCUCAGUGUCUGUAUCUGCUCCAUGUCUGCAGCGCUGCCUCUGGGUCCAGCCCUUUUUUGUUUGUGGUGUUUCCCAGAGAAGGGGAAUAAAAGCCUCAGUUCUCAAGUAGAAGUUUGCAGACUUCUUGAAGGCCUUGACCUCCGAGCUGAGCCUGACAGAGUGAUCGAUGACAUCAGGUGCAGCAGCACAGGAAGCUUUUUGUCAGCGUGGCCUGUCCUUUGGGAUUACAGAGUAAGGGAUCAGAUGACAACGUUUGAAGUGAUUCGACAACAGAGGCUGUAACUGGAAGACAAUCAUCCCAUGAGAGCGAACUUGAUCUUGAACCAUCAUUGUGCCCAAGCCUGUGUGAUGGAGGAGGAUGAGGAGGAGGAGGAGGAGGAGCGGCGGGUUAACAGGAGGAAUGAAAAACAGGAAAACAAACAAAACGCUUCACUGGCUGCUGCCGAUGUGACCUACCAAGCUGACACAACAUGUGCCACCCACACACACGCACACCCUAAAAACACGGAGCAGCGAGGGGGGAGGAGUCAGUCAUUGUUGUUCCCGUGAGUAGAGGUGGCCUGACCCCACACCCUGCACUUCACUGCCUGUUAUUGGCUGCUUCUGCCUGUGCCAGUGAAUUAGACAGCAAACCACUUCUGUGCAAAAGAACAACAAAGAGUUAGAGUGAAAGGACCAAGGUGACCUAAUACACACACACACACACACACACACACACGCAUAUACUACACUAGUUUACUGCAGAGGCCCUGGAAUGAACUGACACUUAAAAAUUAAGUUUUAUAAAGGUAAAAACCUGUAACUGUUUUUGGUCUCAUGCUUUUUUUAAAGUGACUCCUGUAAAUGAUUUUGAAAAAUGUUUAAAUGAAAGUUAUGUUAAAUUAUGCUUAUUAUUAUAUUCGUAGCAAAAACAUCUUAUAUUUUGCGAAUAACGCUGUCAAUGUUUAACUUUAUAAACACCUUCAAUCAUAGAAAUAUUCUGUACAUCUGUCGAAGAUAUGGCACUCAGCGGCACCGCGUGCAAAUGGCGCCCUCUCCCGGACAAGACAGGUCGGCACAUAAGUAAUAGAAAAAUGAGGAAAAAAAGACUGAAGAACUUCAUAAAUGAAAUGUUUUAUUGUGAAAAUUAGUUCCGUUGUUUAACAAAACACAGAAUGCAUUGAGGUUACGCUGAAAGGAUAAAUGAUAACAAAGAAAAUUAGUCAACCAAAAGCUGCAUUAAUGAGGACAUAAACAAAAUGUUAGCUUCCUUCAAAAGAUAACAA
Molecule: RNA transcript, 1821 nt
Organism: Cynoglossus semilaevis (tongue sole)
Lineage: Eukaryota; Metazoa; Chordata; Actinopteri; Pleuronectiformes; Cynoglossidae
Gene name: fibroblast growth factor-binding protein 1-like
Exons: 3
Source: RefSeq, a predicted model, not a curated record